Molecule: long non-coding RNA, 1046 nt
Filed under: Nicotiana tabacum (common tobacco)
Lineage: Eukaryota; Viridiplantae; Streptophyta; Magnoliopsida; Solanales; Solanaceae
Description: long non-coding RNA (NTAB_LNC006276)
Source: RNAcentral
ACUUACAAUGACGUAUUGUCUCAAAUUGAUGUGUUAAAUCAUGAUGGCAUUGAUACAAACAUGUGAUCAAAAGAAGUUACAUGAAGCUAGAUUUCAUCAAAGACAAUUUAAGAAAUACUAAUCAAGUAAUGACUCCCAGAUGAAUUGAUCAAGUUACUUGGGUUGGAAUUACAAAAGCGAGCUGAGUUGUCAAUAUAAAUACUCGAAUCACUAAAUUAAAUACUCCUCCAGAACUACAAUAAACCACGAAUCAGAACAUGUGUAUGUCGAAAAAAAUAAAAUUCUUCUUGCUUCGAAUUAACUCAUCAAAAGCAGGGACUAUCAGUGAUUACAAAUACAAUAGUUGCUAGUGUAGAAACUUUAUAUGCUAUGGACCUCCAAAUCCAUCCACUAUAGCUUGCAGGCUUCCCAGAGACUUCAAUCAAUAAGUUACUUGGUCAGACCUUUUAGGCCAUGACUAGCUAGCUAGAUAACAACAAAACAGUCACAGAUUAAAUGACAAUUGAUUUUUAACAAUUUGAGCAACUAAUUAUUUAACUGACUAGGCCGUGAAUUAAUAAAAGCCAUCAUCAAGACAAACAGGCAGCUUUAACUUAAGCCUUCAAGGUAAAACAAGCAAUCCAAAAGAAAACAAGCAUAGGCAAAUCUGGGAGUCAAGUACAGCCAAAUACACAAACUUAAACAUGAGUUAACCAAACAGAAACAAACUUUCAUUUAUAUGCUCAACAAGAUACUGUUAAAGGAAAAUCAUUACAUACCUAAAGUAGGAAGGUAAAGGGAUAGAAUCUGACAAUCAAUUGUCAAGCAAAUAGAAAUGGAGUUAAGCUCACAGUAGGAAGGAACAACAGCAACACAACAGAAUAGUGAUCAACUAAGGACUCAGAUCUCCUAGAAGUGAGAUUCAGCUAAUAACUAUAAGCAGAAAAUUAGCAAGCAGAGAAUUCUCAAUUCAGAGAGUUUUCUUUUCGUGUGUAUCCCCGUCUGUCCCCCAGAAUGCAGAAUGAAUCCCUCUUAUAUAAACUAUGUGUGUGCUAUAAGAGAGAAUG